RNAcentral lists this ribosomal RNA (321 nucleotides) under uncultured bacterium. RNAcentral's name for it is "bacterial SSU rRNA". It matches the Rfam family "Bacterial small subunit ribosomal RNA", at positions 30 to 351 of the family's 1533-position model. The record is from RNAcentral.
AUUGAACGCUGGCGGCAUGCCUUACACAUGCAAGUCGAACGAACAUAGUAAUAUGUUAGUGGCGAACGGGUGAGUAACACGUAAGUAACCAACCUUCAAGACGAGGAUAACCACUGGAAACGGUAGCUAAAACUGGAUAGGAUAUCUGAUCAAAAGAUGAGAUAUUUAAAAGCGCUGAAAGGCGCUACUUGAAGCUGGGCUUGCGGCGCAUUAGAUAGUUGGUGAGGUAACGGCCCACCAAGUCAACGAUGCGUAGCAGCGCUGAGAGGCGGAACUGCCACACUGGGACUGAGACACGGCCCAGACUCCUACGGGAGGCAG